GAUGAACGCUGGCGGCGUGCCUAAUACAUGCAAGUCGAGCGAACGGACGAGAAGCUUGCUUCUCUGAUGUUAGCGGCGGACGGGUGAGUAACACGUGGAUAACCUACCUAUAAGACUGGGAUAACUUCGGGAAACCGUAGCUAAUACCGGAUAGUAUUUUGAACCGCAUGGUUCAAAAGUGGAAGACGGUCUUGCUGUCACUUAUAGAUGGAUCCGCGCUGCAUUAGCUAGUUGGUAAGGUAACGGCUUACCAAGGCAACGAUGCAUAGCCGACCUGAGAGGGUGAUCGGCCACACUGGAACUGAGACACGGUCCAGACUCCUACGGGAGGCAGCAGUAGGGAAUCUUCCGCAAUGGGCGAAAGCCUGACGGAGCAACGCCGCGUGAGUGAUGAAGGUCUUCGGAUCGUAAAACUCUGUUAUUAGGGAAGAACAUAUGUGUAAGUAACUGUGCACAUCUUGACGGUACCUAAUCAGAAAGCCACGGCUAACUACGUG
RNAcentral lists this ribosomal RNA (497 nucleotides) under uncultured bacterium. Its description in RNAcentral is "partial 16S ribosomal RNA". It matches the Rfam family "Bacterial small subunit ribosomal RNA", at positions 28 to 507 of the family's 1533-position model. The record is from RNAcentral.